This is a long non-coding RNA of Clupea harengus (Atlantic herring), 669 nucleotides long. Lineage: Eukaryota; Metazoa; Chordata; Actinopteri; Clupeiformes; Clupeidae. The record is from Ensembl.
AUUGUCAAAGCAUGGACGUAGCUUAGUUGUGUCUUUCCCUUGGUGCUUUGCACAAGAACGUUCAUGAAUUGUAAUGACACCAACCGAACAUUUUCCAGACAUCAAGUGACAUGUGUGAUAUAUGUGUUAAGAUGCUAUUUAUUUUAGCUGCUGCCAACGACAUUAUAAGGCAAUAAAACCGAACAGAAAUUAACUCUACCUGUGUAGUGCCUGGAGUUUGGACCCACAGUAUGCAGCGACUCGCCACCUUCGCCACCUUCGCCACCUCGCCACCUUCUUCUAGGGUAUGCGGAUAUGCUUGUAUGGGCAACUAGUUUGGUGUCGUCUUCAAAUUCAUUUUUUUAUGGUAUACGGUCAUAUGACAGACAGAUGAACACACCUGUUAUUCCCACUAGCUGCCAAGCCUGUGUGUGAUGUAGUUCUGUGUGUGAUGUAGUUCUGUGUGUGAUGUAGUUCUGAUGUAGUUCUGUGUGUGUGUGUGUGUGUGUGUGUGUGUGUGUGAUGUAGUUCUGUGUGUGUGUUUCUGUGUGUGUGUGUGAUGUAGUUCUGUGUGUGAUGUAGUUCUGUGUGUGAUGUAGUUCUGUGUGUGUGUGUGAUGUAGUUCUGUGUGUUUCUGUGUGUGUGUGUGUGUGAUGUAGUUCUGUGUGUGAUGUAGUUCUGUGGUCAGGG